This 292-nucleotide ribosomal RNA is filed under the name uncultured bacterium. RNAcentral describes it as "partial 16S ribosomal RNA". It matches the Rfam family "Bacterial small subunit ribosomal RNA", at positions 505 to 796 of the family's 1533-position model. The record is from RNAcentral.
GUGCCAGCCGCCGCGGUAAUACAGAGGGUGCGAGCGUUGUCCGGAAUCACUGGGCGUAAAGGGCGCGUAGGCGGCCGGGUAAGUAGGGGGUGAAAUCCCACAGCUCAACUGUGGGGCUGCCUUCUAGACUGCUUGGCUUGAGCACGGUAGAGGCUGGUGGAAUUCCCGGUGUAGCGGUGGAAUGCGUAGAGAUCGGGAAGAACAUCGGUGGCGAAGGCGGCCAGCUGGGCCGUUGCUGACGCUGAGGCGCGAAAGCGUGGGGAGCAAACAGGAUUAGAAACCCCUGUAGUCC